Molecule: small nuclear RNA, 130 nt
Organism: Lynx canadensis (Canada lynx)
Lineage: Eukaryota; Metazoa; Chordata; Mammalia; Carnivora; Felidae
Gene: U2
Rfam family: U2 spliceosomal RNA
About the family: U2 is a small nuclear RNA (snRNA) component of the spliceosome (involved in pre-mRNA splicing). Complementary binding between U2 snRNA (in an area lying towards the 5' end but 3' to hairpin I) and the branchpoint sequence (BPS) of the intron results the bulging out of an unpaired adenosine, on the BPS, which initiates a nucleophilic attack at the intronic 5' splice site, thus starting the first of two transesterification reactions that mediate splicing.
Source: Ensembl
AUCGCUUCUCGGCCUUUUGGCUAAGAUCAAGUGUAGUAUCUGUUCUUGUCAGUUUAAUAUCUUAUAAUCUGGUUCUUUAUGCAUCUGGUUCUUUAGGCAUCAAUAUCAUAAAACUAUUCUAAUAACUUCU